CGGACUAGUCAUCAGUAUUAUCUCCAUUCCAUUGGGGGAUUAUUUGAGUUUGAGUCCAAAUAACUUUAUGUUAAACAAAAAAAUUACAACAACUUAAAAAUAUUAUUCUUGAGAAACAUUUUUUUGAUGUCAAAAGGUUAUUCUAUUACUCAAACUUGAGGUGGUCUGGCUAACCAGACCAGAAUAUAACAACCAAUAAAAUGUAACUCCCUAUGGAUAGAUCUACCAGUCUUAACUAAAAAAUUUGAAAUCUGAUUGCGCGCUUGUGGAACAUGAAUGAUGUUGAAAUCCGAGAAGCAUAUCUGCAGCGUAUCUAUCAUUUCCAAUUCUGUCGCAAAACUUGGCCAGACAUGAAGUUCCUUUAUCAUUGCUAUCAGCUCUUUACAGUCAUUCCCGAAGCUCUGGCAUGUUGAAUGUUGAAGCAUGUUCUCCAUU
Molecule: long non-coding RNA, 435 nt
Filed under: Brassica napus (rape)
Lineage: Eukaryota; Viridiplantae; Streptophyta; Magnoliopsida; Brassicales; Brassicaceae
Description: long non-coding RNA (BNAP_LNC024852)
Source: RNAcentral